Molecule: long non-coding RNA, 480 nt
Organism: Pipistrellus kuhlii (Kuhl's pipistrelle)
Lineage: Eukaryota; Metazoa; Chordata; Mammalia; Chiroptera; Vespertilionidae
Exons: 2
Source: RefSeq, a predicted model, not a curated record
AUCACAAAGCUAUUCUGGCUGAUAACUCAGAGAAUAAUGAAAAUAACUUAAGAGUUCAAUUAGUUGCCUAGGGAAGUAAAGAAGGUAACUAUCACUUCAAACGGUGAGCAAGGUUGUGUUUUCUGCUAAUAUGAUAUAAAUUUAAAAGCUUUUGCUUUACAGUGGGAUGGUAGGAAUUAGGCAAGACCACAGUAGCAAGACUACUGUAAAAAUAAGGAAUUUCAUUCUCAGAUUCCUAAAAGUAAAAUCAGUUUUAGUCUAAAAAUUAUUGAACAACAAAUAGCACCCAUGCCUGCUUGGUAAUGUCUGGCUUCAGAUUAAAAUGAAAAUAUAAGACAAAUUUCAGCAAAAUAAUUUUAUUUCCUAACACAUAGUAAACAUAUACAUCCAAUAUCUCGCACAUUUAUUCACAAAUGACUUCCAAAUUCCAAUAACUGCUUUGAUAUUUAAGCAUGUGCUCAUAGUUAUCUUAGCUGAGAU